RNAcentral lists this ribosomal RNA (777 nucleotides) under uncultured Neocallimastigales. Its description in RNAcentral is "partial large subunit ribosomal RNA". It matches the Rfam family "Eukaryotic large subunit ribosomal RNA", at positions 23 to 635 of the family's 3401-position model. Lineage: Eukaryota; Fungi; Neocallimastigomycota; Neocallimastigomycetes; Neocallimastigales. The record is from RNAcentral.
AGAGAGAGACAUGCGCGCAUAUCAAUAAGCGGAGGAAAAGAAACUAACAAGGAUUCCCUUAGUAACGGCGAGUGAAGCGGGAAGAGCCCAAAUUUGAAAUCUUCAAGGUUUUACCUUGACGAAUUGUAGUUUAAAGAAGUGUUUUCUGCUGAAGUUUUGGUAAAAGUUCUUUGGAAUAGGACAUCAUAGAGGGUGAGAAUCCCGUAUUUGACCAUUAUUUUCAGCUUUGUGAUACACUUUCAAAGAGUCGGAUUGUUUGGGAAUGCAGUCCAAAAUGGGUGGUAAAUUUCAUCUAAAGCUAAAUAUUGGCGAGAGACCGAUAGCGAACAAGUACCGUGAGGGAAGGAUGAAAAGAACUUUGAAAAGAGAGUUAAACAGUACGUGAAAUUGUCAAAAGGGAAGCGUUUGACACCAGUGUUGUUUUCUCGAAAAUCAAUUAAAAAUGGCUCGAUUUUGUAUUGUUGAGACCUUAAAAGCUCACUGUACAUUUUUCGUGUCUUUUUUAAUGCACUUCUCGUUUAACAAGUCAACAUCAGUUUCUUUUGUUGUAAAAGGGUCAUUGGAAGGUGGCUUUCUUUUCGGAGAAAGUGUUUUUAUUAGCCUUUGGCCUCUGCAAUCGAAGAGACUGAGGUCUGCAGCGUAGACUCUUCGGGGUUAGAUACAUUUGUGCUAAGUUAUAGCUUUUUAUAGACAACUUGUUGACUAUAAUUAGUCUUGUAGCUUACUCGCUUAUGCUAUUUUACCUACGCUUAGGAUGUUGAAGAUGUAGCACAUCAU